AGCACUUUGAAUUGUUAAGCCUCAUGCCCUGUGUGUGUGUGUGUGUGUGUGUGUGUGUGUGUGUGUGUGUGUGUACAAAAGUUUCAACAUGGUAUUAAUAUAAUAGGCAAGCAACCUUCAUUUAAAAUUUUAAUUCUCACAGGCCCCAAAGCUCAAGUUAUUAACAUUUCUUGUUGAACAGUAAAAAGUUUUGUUGAAGAAAUAACUUUCACUGUCACUUUGAAGUCGGGAUCCGAGUCCUUUAAUAUUGAAUAUUUGAGUAAUAAAAGAGCAUCUCUUUCUACAUAAACCAGCUGCACACUUCUCCCACAUACCUGUUACAUUUAACAAAGACAUUACAGAUGUUUGACAGCUGAAUAGUUCUGAUAAAACAAGCCUGAAUCACAGUUUUCCUCCAGUAUUUUGAACAGUAUUUGUGUUACCACGUUCUAAUCAGGCUCCCUUUAUAAAGGGUUUAUAAGUUGUAAUGAAUGGCUUCCUCAGAGUUUCAUAGACCAGUUAUAAGCCAUCAUUAUAAGAAUUUUUGGGUUGCCAGGUUGUGUUUUUUAGCUCUUAGCUCAUCAGUUAGACCCCUCCAAUGUACUAUUUGACCGCUUAACUACUGGAAAAGAUUUGCCAAAUUUACCAAAAUUGAUUUAUUAAUGACUCAAUAAAAUGUAUAACCGCAGACUUGACGGCUCAUUAGAAAGUGACAAACCAAUGAGCGUUUCUGAGUAGAUUACCAGCAUUGCUAACAGUAUUAUUACCACAUAGAAAGGAUGAACACCAGUCAGAGGGAUUUCUCACAAGCUGCUGUUGUUCCUAUUAGCGGCACAAAACAUUGUUUAUUAACCAUUAACAACUUGUAACUCUUUACAAAGGCUGUUGUAUUAGAAAACUGGACUGUACUGAGUAUAGUACCUGAGAGAGUUAUAAUGGUCAGAGCCCAAAUGCUGCACAUAUUCUACAUUUAUCUAAACGGGGUGAUAUUAUUUAUUAUUUCACAAACAAAGUGUUUAGGUCAGCCCACAACCAAUCAGCAGCAAACUGAGCUGACUUACUGAAUGGCCUUUUGGUUAACAUACUUUAUAUGAAAAGGCAAAACCCAAACAAACUGAAACAACAAAAUAUACAAACUCCACCACCAUGAUUUCCCCUUUACAGGAUUUUCAUUUGAAAGAAUUGGUCCUUCCGGUGCAGUUCCCAUCGCAGACGUCAUCUCACCACCUCCAACAAGAUACCCCCAUCAGACGUCCCACAACUGUUCCAGACAAAGCACAGGUUUGAGGAUGGGUUAGCUUGGCUGUUGUUUCUUCUCCUUUUGGAUUUUGCACCUGUUGUUGCUGUUGUUCUUUUCGAUCUCUUGGAGCAUCUCAGCCGUGUAGAGGUUUCCUCCUGUUGUCUGAAUCAUGCCUUUGGUGUUAUGAUCCUCCGACUUUGAGGAUGUCAAUGAAGUCAUCUCUACACCUCAAAGUGUUAGCCAGUUUCUCAGUACUGACAUCAUUCAGUAAGGCCAAGAGGUCAUAAUCAGUCAUUGUGUGGCCAAACGUUUUUCUAAAACACUGCCCAAAAAAUUACCGCGCCUUUAAAAAUCACAUCUUGGUUGCUUCACCUCAACUUGCCUGAAAAGAAAAGCUGCUUUCUGCCAUAAAAUGCAUUUCCUUGUGAGAUGGGAUGGAUUCUGACUCUGUACUAGAGCUGAAACUAGCAAUUAUUUUCAUUGUUGAUUAUUUUCUCGAUUAAUC
This is a long non-coding RNA of Siniperca chuatsi (mandarin fish), 1724 nucleotides long. RefSeq lists it as uncharacterized. The record is from RefSeq and is a predicted model, not a curated record. The transcript has 2 exons. Lineage: Eukaryota; Metazoa; Chordata; Actinopteri; Centrarchiformes; Sinipercidae.